UUUUAUAAAAAUAUUAGCCCCACACACACUCUCUUUCUCUGUGCAAUUCCUUGUGCACGGUAUAACCAUCUCCCCCAGCUGUCUCCCCCCCCCUCUCUCCCCUCAUCAGAACCUAGAAAAAAUAAGCAAACCUAAUACCACUGCCGAACACACACCCAGCGCACCCUGGGACCUCCCUCUGCAUCUCUCUCUCUCUACCCAUUUCGCUCCGCACCCCUGGGACCUCCCUCUGCAUCUCUCUCUCUCUCUCUCUCUCUCUCUCUCUCUCUACCCAUUUCGCUCCGCACCCCUGGAACCUCCCUUUGCAACUCUUCCGGUCUUCCCCCACAGAAAAAUGAAAAUCCGCACCCCCGGGAUUUUCUUGGUUUGCCAUUGCUUUCUGGGUUUGUUUAUAAGUUGUUCUGUUAUGCUGUAGCUCGGAAUCGGAGGUUGUCACCGGAAAAAAAAACCCAACGAAAUUGUUCUCCAGCUCGGCCCCAAUCGGAGGAAUCGGAGGUUGUCACCGUGAAAGGCACGCGCCAGGCAAAUAGCCCGGCUCCUUGGUCAGUCAAUUUUGGACUAGCCUAGAGACCAGCUUGGGCUGGGUGCCAGGCAAGUUGCUGGGCUGGAGUGAAUUAACAGGGUGCCAGCCUGGUUUUUUUACUGGGUGCUGGGCUAUUCCACCUCUGGUGGAACUGCUCUUAGAAACAGUAUAAGAUAUACGUGUCAGUUAUGUCGUUCAUUUUUAUAUUAAAUCAUUAAAUCAAAUAUUACGACACGUAUAUUUUGAUAUCUACGAAAGUGUCUCAAAUUUUAGACAAAUUGCUGUGCAAUUUUUGCAUAUCAGAUUCGAUUUUGAAAUGCGUUGUCUGUUUCUAUGUGUUAUUUUCAUCUGGGUUUUAUUAUUUAAUGGUUCUGAGUGGAAAAAUAUAUGAGAAAACAAAAAAUUAAAAAGGGGAAUCGGAGAGAAGCCAAAUGGGUUUUGAAAAAAGGACAAUAAGCCAAACAAUUGCAUGUGCAGCUGCUGCAAUUUGGCGCCGUUAAAGGGCUCAAUGAGUCUCUUUCACCGGACAAUCGGCACUUAUCUUGAAAAAUCCACGUAGUUAAAGUGAGUUCGUUAGCCUGUGACUAGAAUGUUACCUUUACCGCAAUCAAACACGAUUAUGUAGAUUCUAAAUUGUUCUUGUAUGCGUAUAAUUCAGUUGAUUAAAAACAUUUGCUUUUUAUCUGGGGUCUUGUAUUUAAGUUUUCAACCUUAAAUUUUAAUAUAGAUUGUCCUAUAUUCUAACCUGUGAAAAAAAUCAAAUAUUAUAUUCUAAUAUGCGUAAUAAAAAUGAUUAAAUUAAAAGUUAGUCGCAAGGUUCCAUCAUAAAUUAAUUCGCAAUGUGAGAAGUAGUUCAAUCUCUUAUAAAGCCUUGAAUGAUUUGGUCCCUCAUCGAUGUGGCACUUUAUCCUCACAUUCUCACACACCUCUCUCACGUGUGGCAAAUUUUCAAACAUAACACGUGAACAAUACAAAUUGCGUAUCGUGGAAUCUGUGUGACCGUUGAGCUUCUCACGUGAGCCAACCUGUUCUGAUACCAUAAAGAAGUUGAGAUUUCAUUAUAAAACCAAUGAUAAUAUGAAAAGUAGCUCAACAUCUUAUAAGCACUUGUAUUUUUUUGGUUCCUCACCGACGUGGGAAUACUAUCAUCGACACACCUAAUACAUAUAUGUCAAACAACUGAAAUUUGCAUGUUCUCAUCCGUGCGAAUCGAACUGGAAACAUCCAUCCUCCAUUAAAACUCAUCUCAAUUACGAUUAAACUUGCCUCAAAUUGCCAAUUUUCUUUUGUUUUUGUGAACGGUACACAUGACAAUGAAGCCGUACCACAGGAGAGAUAGCGUGUAAAAAAUAAAACUUUUGAAGUCAAUGAACAUAGUUACUGCUGCUACCAUGAAUUACGUACAAGACCUCAAUUUUCUACUCCGUAAUUUGGACACUAGUUAAGAUGAUUAAAACACUAAUGCCGAUAAUCACGGUCUUAUUAAUAUUUCGCCAACCAAGCUGUACUCGAGACGUUAUCGUUUUCCAUGCAAAUCUUAUCUUAUUAAUAAUAAUCAAGAUUUAAGAUCUUGUGUUUAGAUUACGUGAUUAGCAACCACCAUUAAUUAAAUAUCAGAGGAAAAUGUUGCAGCAAGAUAACAGACCCAUGGUUAGAAGCCGCUCACAGGUUUGUCACUUGUGUUAAUUUCAUAGGUCAAACAACAACCGCCAUGUGUGUUUUUAUUUUUGGAUCUGGAAUGACUGCUCUUCACAUCUCAUACCCUUCCUAUCCCCUCAUAUUUUUGUGGUCACGGUUAAGUCGUGUCAACAUUUUAUAUUGAUUUUUUUUAUAUAAAUAAUAAAACAAAAAGCAAUGAGAAUAUAAAAUAUUGAUGUGGUUUAACCGUGACCACAGAAAUAGAAGGGGAUGAGAAGGGUAUGAGAUGAGAGAGGGCAGACAAUCCAGGUCCUUUAUUUUUAAAUUAAGGCAUUGGCAUUAUCAAUUAUAGUAUUCACUUUUACUUGUAUAAGGUCUCAGAUUUAAUUCAUAUUAGAUGAUGAUUAUCAAUAUCUAGUUAUGGUUAGAUCAUAUUGUUGCUUACCCACGCGCCCCAUUUCAAGUUAAAUAUUGUUGUAUUGAAAAAGCAAUCUAAAAGAAUGCUUGUGUCCACCGUAAUGGUACAUCCUGGACGGAGCCAUGAGAUUAAAAUAAAAUUUUGAUACAAUAUAUUAAAUUAUUGUCCAUCAACAUGAUUUUGGGUAACUGGUGUUUAGAACGGUUAAGUUGUAAACCAUUAGCUAAUGAAAAAAUUUACAUGACUUGGAAGGGUUUAAGGAUAAGAAAAGAAUAGGACGUGAGAGUGCAUGUUGUGUUGUGUUUGGAAUGAGACUUCAUUUCUAAGUAUAUACAACUAAUUUGUAGUUUUAAUUGGUACAUUUUUCAAGACAAACAAAGUUGAGUGGGAACAACUGCCCCCAGUAGGCAUAUGCGGCCUCCGUCCAUGGUUUCACCAAUGGCUGCACAUUUUUGUUCACUUAGUUGCGAUUAACAUUUUUAUUUUGUAAUUCUUUUGUCUAAUGAUAUUCGUAUGAUUUGUUAAUCACAUUUGUGAGGCAAAAGAAAGUACAGUCUUGAAGUGGAAGCAAGUAAAGAAAAUAAAUAAAUAAAAAGUUGGGAAUUAAUUUAAUUGGAUGGAGGUCUUGUUCAGCUAGAAGACACGUAAGCCGCUAAAAAUGUCAUCACCCAUGUGCUUCUGCAUGUGUGCGUGGACCUUUUGCUUUCUUUUUUUCAGAUUUUCUUCCUGUUAUGAUUUGAUAGAAUCAUCCUCUAGUAACUCAACCUAUUCACAUGAAAACGAAAGGAAGAUUACAGUAAUUUAAUAUAUAACAAGUCAUCAGUUACGUAACGUCACACUUAUUACGUCAAAACAUCACAAUAAUAAUGAAUUUGUUUCAUGUAAAUUGCUCGUGAUUUUUGUUUUUUUGUUGUAGAGAAGAGAUGCCAUUAAACGAGGAAGGAUGAAAUUCUCAUGGAUUCAUGGGUCAAAAAUGCUCAUUCAAUUCGUUUACCAGAAAAGAUUUGGGAAUUGAAUUCCUCCUUUCCUGCUCCAAGUCCUAAUAAACGGCUGUGUAAUUAAAGCUUCUCUAACCGUGUGAGACGUAUGUCUCAAUGUGUGCCAUUGCAGAGAAACAAGAGGGACACAGACACAACACAUCUCUCUCGCUCUCUCUCUCUCUCUCUCUCUCUCUCUCUCUCUCUCUCGUGGUUGGGGCAGCAAAGUUGUGCUUGUGGUGUAGAAAUAAAAUCAGCCCUGCAAAUUUUUAUUCAUGCACAUUCAGUUAUGCAAUAAUCUAAAUAAAGUUGGAAGCUUUCUGUUAGGUAAGAGAGAUUCUGUCCGCAGCAAGAAAACCCAGUUCACCAAAACUGUUUAAGCUGUUUUAAAAUGGUUGUUGUGGUAAGUAAGGGCUUUUCGGAGUGAAUUAAUAUAUCUUAAUAAAUCUAUAUUAUUUCAUUUUUAAUCGGCUAAUAACAGUCAGUUCACUCUCUUACGCUUGAAUUUGAAUCUCCUUUUCUCUUCCAUAACAGAUUAAGCUAUAUGUGAAUUAUAUUUGUUGACCUAGGGCGGUUUGCUAGCACAUUUCUACCUAAGUUCGAAUCUCAAUUUUCAGAAACUAAAUUGGUUUAAAAAUCGUUUAGAUAAAAGAAUAAUAAUUGAUAAUAUAAAUAACUGAAAAUAUGAGUAUACCCCUUGGAAUUCAAUUUUCAUUAACUAAAACCCCCAAUUGUAAAAUUUUCUGAUAAAAACCCAAUGACUAGGCUCCAACUAAGCAAUAUCCAUAAUUAAGUAUCACUUGGCAAAAUUGGUAUUUUUGAAUGUCUAAAUUACCCCUAAUAUUAUUGACUUUGGGUUUAUUACUUGUUAUCUACAUUUAUUUUAUAUUAUUUCAUUCAAUUAAACGUUUUGAAAUGUUUAU
This 4479-nucleotide long non-coding RNA is filed under the name Malus domestica (apple). RNAcentral describes it as "long non-coding RNA (MDOM_LNC016075)". Lineage: Eukaryota; Viridiplantae; Streptophyta; Magnoliopsida; Rosales; Rosaceae. The record is from RNAcentral.